This 492-nucleotide ribosomal RNA is filed under the name uncultured bacterium. RNAcentral describes it as "partial 16S ribosomal RNA". It matches the Rfam family "Bacterial small subunit ribosomal RNA", at positions 29 to 507 of the family's 1533-position model. The record is from RNAcentral.
AGUGAACGCUGGCGGUAGGCCUAACACAUGCAAGUCGAACGGCAGCACAGUAAGAGCUUGCUCUUACGGGUGGCGAGUGGCGGACGGGUGAGGAAUACAUCGGAAUCUACUUUUUCGUGGGGGAUAACGUAGGGAAACUUACGCUAAUACCGCAUACGACCUACGGGUGAAAGCAGGGGAUCUUCGGACCUUGCGCGAUUGAAUGAGCCGAUGUCGGAUUAGCUAGUUGGCGGGGUAAAGGCCCACCAAGGCGACGAUCCGUAGCUGGUCUGAGAGGAUGAUCAGCCACACUGGAACUGAGACACGGUCCAGACUCCUACGGGAGGCAGCAGUGGGGAAUAUUGCACGAGGGGCGCAAGCCUGAUCCUGCCAUACCGCGUGGGUGAAGAAGGCCUUCUGGUUGUAAAGCGCUUUUGUUGUGAAAGAUAAGCAGCAGGUUAAUACCCCGCUGUUCUGACGGUACCCAAAGAAUAAGCACCGGCUAACUUCGUG